Anthonomus grandis grandis is the source of this 470-nucleotide long non-coding RNA. RefSeq lists it as uncharacterized. The record is from RefSeq and is a predicted model, not a curated record. NCBI's taxonomy places the organism in Eukaryota, Metazoa, Arthropoda, Insecta, Coleoptera, Curculionidae. The transcript is spliced from 3 exons.
ACAAAUAUAUCGAAAGUUACCUACCAAAAAAUAUUGAAGGAGUCGGCCAAUAUAAAAAAUAACCCCUCUUGUUCAUUCAGCAGUCCAAGAAAAAAGAGGCCCAGGAAAUCACGUAUACUUGACAUUACUUCGACGCAACUUAAAGAAAUUAGGAGCAUAGUUAAUGAUUUUUAUAUAGUGGAAAAAAGAAGGCCUACUCUCAAGUUAAUCCUACAAAAGAUCAUUGACCGAUCUGUUAUUCAUGAGCCUAUGAGUAUACCAUCCUUAGCAAAACUACUAAAGAGCAUUGGAUUUAGAUGGAAGAAGACAGAUGAUAAUAGAAAGGCCUUGAUGGAAUCAUAUGACAUACGUUUGAAGAGAAUAAAAUACUUAAAACAAAUUACCGAAUUUAAAAAUCAAGGUAGAAAUAUAGUGUAUACUGACGAAACCUAUAUACACAGUAGUCAUACUUCUGACAAAGGUUGGUUUGA